This 273-nucleotide ribosomal RNA is filed under the name Hyalomma scupense. Its description in RNAcentral is "partial large subunit ribosomal RNA". The record is from RNAcentral. Lineage: Eukaryota; Metazoa; Arthropoda; Arachnida; Ixodida; Ixodidae.
UAUUUUGACUAUACAAAGGUAUUGUAAUAAGAUUUUAAUUGAAUGCUAAAAGAAUGGAAAUUUAGAAAAAAACUUUUUUGAAAUUAAAAAUUGAAUUUUUUUUAAUUUGUGCAGAAACAAUUAUUUAUAUUAAAGACAAGAAGACCCUAUGAAUUUAAAGAUUAAUUUAAUUAAUAUAAUUAACUGAAUUAAUCUUGAUUGGGGCGAUCAAAAAAUAUUAAUAACUUUUUUAAAUUAAAAUGAUCUAUUAUUAAUAAAAUAAUGAAAUAAAUA